This 1315-nucleotide long non-coding RNA is filed under the name Heterocephalus glaber (naked mole-rat). RNAcentral's name for it is "lncRNA (ENSHGLG00100038926.1)". The record is from RNAcentral. Lineage: Eukaryota; Metazoa; Chordata; Mammalia; Rodentia; Bathyergidae.
AUUUCCCUCAGUCCUGCCAUAGCAAAUGAUUGCAUUUACCCAUUUGUUACCUUGAUUCAGAUAUCUGAUUUUUACUUUCAUAGCUCUUCACCUCAAUCUGUAUUACUAUGGGAGCACACUUUUUUAAAGUUGUUUCAUUUAAGGCAUGCCGGGAAUGGUUACUCCUGCAGAACAUUUGUCUUUUACCUCAAGGAGUUAACUAAAUCAGCUCUGUAAUUGACUGACUUGUCUACUGACAGCCUUUGAAACACCACCACCCCCAAGAUUUUUUUCUGUCUAAAGAACAAGAUUGACAUCUCUUUAUAUGUUUGGAAUUCUUCGGUGGUGUAAAGUGCUUGGUAAUGACAGAAAUUAACCUGAGGCUUUAUCUAACUACCUUUCCUAUCAACUCCAUUGAAGUUCUGAUAACAAUUAAAAUUUUGAUACAAACACACAGCAUCAGAAAAAAUUUUUUUUUUUUUUUUUUUUUUUUUUUUUUUUGGUACAGGAGAUCGAACUCUGGACCUUGCACUUGGAAGGAGAGUAGGAGAGCUCUUUUCUCACUCACUGACUUCUGCUAUUAUGUGGCCAUCCGCCAGGAGAUGCUGCAUAGACGCAAGCUAACGCUGUCACCAUGUCCCCGACUCUCUCGAACUAUAAGCUAAAUAAACUUCUUUGUAAAGUUCUUCAUUUCAGGGGAUGAUAAGCACCUCCGCAGCUGGCCAGACACUUCGCUGAAAUUCCACCAGAUUGAACAUGGGCCCAAGUGUCAAAGGUGACCACAUUCUGCAGGUGUUGCCAGCACUAACGGCAGAGCGUGGAGGGCAGCAAAAUAAAUGCAUGGCUUUCUAUAUUUAUCAGAAACGAACCGACUGGAGCAAAGAGACAGAGUCAUUUCAGUGAAAAAAAUAGCAAAUGCAUGAACAACAGUAACACUGUAGAGUUAAUCUGAGAGCUGAAUGUACAAAAAUGAAAGCAUGGGCACGUAGGCUGAUAUUUAAAACUGCUCACUAGUGGGUGGGGAUUAGCUCAGUGGUGCUGCGCCUGCCUUGAAAGUACAAGAUCCUGAGUUUGAUCCCUAGUACCACAAAAAAACAAAAACAAACCCUGCUCAGGACAUGGUGCCAUCAUGAUCAUUAUCAUGAUCGUAGUCACCUUCCUCAUCCUCAGCUACUAUCAGUAUCAACAUUAGAAAAAUUUUUAAUUAGGGUCUUUUUUGAUAAACUCAUAUCUGCUAUUGCCUGGUUAUUGUUUGAGUUAUACUAAAAGGACAGGCUUGCUAUCAUCCCAGAAAAAGCUAAGGGUUAAAAACCUUCACAUUCAUCAAGACUUAUAC